Molecule: long non-coding RNA, 537 nt
Filed under: Mytilus galloprovincialis (Mediterranean mussel)
Lineage: Eukaryota; Metazoa; Mollusca; Bivalvia; Mytilida; Mytilidae
Source: RNAcentral
UAUUAUUUAAAUAUUUCUUUUACAUUAUAGUAUAUAUUUUUUAGUUUGAAAAGGAUGAAAGUGUCUCAUAUGUCUUAAAGGCAGGGAUCUAAUAUUGUUUUAAAGAAUUUUUUUAUAUUGUAUAUGAUGAUGUAUAUUGGAUCGUGACACUAUAAUAAACUAUUUACUUACUUACUAUAUACAGUAAUUUGCAAUCAGCAUACAACAAAUGGAAGUUUUUAACGACCUUGACUGGCUAUCUAGCAUACGUGUACAAGGUUGCUAAUUACUAUAUAUAAAUUACAAAUUUACUCCGAUAUAUAUACUAAUAUAAAAACUGUUGUUUCUAAUUUGUGUUUGUAGCUAUGUAUACUGUAUUGUUUAGUACUAUAUUUGUAUUUUUAUACUAUUAAACGAGAAGACCUCCUUUUGUGUGUCGCUUCUCUUCCUUCCAUGAUAAAUUAAUCAUCAUGCCUCUGGGUUUUAAAGAUGACAUGCAUAGUCGCAUUUGUCGUCCAUUCUUAUGGUUCAUUUUUGGAGAAAAACAACAAAAAAAGG